RNAcentral lists this ribosomal RNA (671 nucleotides) under uncultured bacterium. RNAcentral describes it as "bacterial SSU rRNA". It matches the Rfam family "Bacterial small subunit ribosomal RNA", at positions 56 to 718 of the family's 1533-position model. The record is from RNAcentral.
UGCAAGUCGAACGGCAGCGGGUCGUAGCAAUACGAUGCCGGCGAGUGGCGGACGGGUGAGGAAUACAUCGGAAUCUACCUUGUCGUGGGGGAUAACGUAGGGAAACUUACGCUAAUACCGCAUACGACCUACGGGUGAAAGCGGCGGACCGCAAGGCGUCGCGCGAUUGGAUGAGCCGAUGUCCGAUUAGCUAGUUGGCGGGGUAAAGGCCCACCAAGGCGACGAUCGGUAGCUGGUCUGAGAGGAUGAUCAGCCACACUGGAACUGAGACACGGUCCAGACUCCUACGGGAGGCAGCAGUGGGGAAUACUGGACAAUGGGGGCAACCCUGAUCCAGCCAUGCCGCGUGUGUGAAGAAGGCCUUCGGGUUGUAAAGCACUUUUGUCCGGAAAGAAAAGCGCUGGGUUAAUACCCCGGUGUUAUGACGGUACCGGAAGAAUAAGCACCGGCUAACUUCGUGCCAGCAGCCGCGGUAAUACGAAGGGUGCAAGCGUUACUCGGAAUUACUGGGCGUAAAGCGUGCGUAGGUGGUUCGUUAAGUCUGUCGUGAAAGCCCCGGGCUCAACCUGGGAAUGGCGAUGGAUACUGGCGGGCUAGAGUGCGGUAGAGGAGAGUGGAAUUCCCGGUGUAGCAGUGAAAUGCGUAGAGAUCGGGAGGAACAUCAGUUGCGA